Podarcis raffonei (Aeolian wall lizard) is the source of this 1995-nucleotide long non-coding RNA. RefSeq lists it as uncharacterized. Lineage: Eukaryota; Metazoa; Chordata; Lepidosauria; Squamata; Lacertidae. The transcript is spliced from 3 exons. The record is from RefSeq and is a predicted model, not a curated record.
CAUGUGCAGCAUUCCAAACUAGCUGAGUCCUGAUUUAAAUGCAGGUUGGCUGCGGCUGUUCCUGAUGUUCCUAGUACAGCAACACAUCUCUGAUUAUCAUCAUCAAACAAACGUGGUAGAGUUGGGUGGUUCAGAGCCACAAUUGCUUCAUGAAAAUAGAAAAACUGUAACACAGCAUUGCAGGACUCUAUAUCAUUUUGACUCUGAUGGCCUGUUUUCAGGUAUUUCGACAAAGAACUUUGGUAAAGGCAGCGCUGCAGACAAACAUUCCAUGAUCCUUGAUAUACUGAACUGAUGACCUGGAGAAACUGCCUACCACAAUGAAGGAUAUUAUGGCUGAAUUUUCCAAAAGCAUGUUGUACAAAGUAUUCACAUGACCAGGCUAAACCACAAUGCAACUUUUGCUCACAGUAGAUAUAAGAUUAAAUGCUUUAACAUAUGCACAAGCUGGAACUCAAACUAUGCUUGCCAGCUCUUUUUGCAGGGAGAUGAUUGUCAUCUUAUGGAAAGGCUAUCCAGUAUAAACUCUUUCAUUAAAUUUUGGAGGUGUUUGGAAAAGCUGAAAUAGUGAAUCUUAGUAUUUUAAAGUGCUAGUGAUAUUGAAAUUGUGUAUAAAUUAAAAGCCUAACAGCAGCCCCUUCCUCUGUCCAAAAACUGUGAUACUUUGCUCUGAGUUUGUAGACUGAAAGCAACAGGUAGUUGCAGCAAACUUCCAUGUAUAAAAGAGGAGAUAAGCAGUGUUCCCAACAGCAGCAGUUCCCUUGGCCAGUAGCUGGUAUCAGGCGGAAGAUCCUGGCAUUGAACAGCAGCAGUCACAGACCCGAGGGCUGACUGAUAUGACAACCACAAUUUCCCAGGUUGGAAGAGGGGUUGGCCCACGGCACAGCCACUAACUGCCCAUGCCAUGUGCCCCUUACCUGGCCUGCCCCACCUCCCACGCCAUACCUCCCCCUACCCAGAACCACCGUAACUGGGCCUCUCCCUGCUCUCCCCAGCUCCUCUCCUCCCAGCCAUAUGCCACAAAUGCCUUUACAACUCAGUUAAAAACAACUAAUACACUAAAAAAUAAAUAAAAGGAUAUAAAAAACAAUUUAGGAGAAGAGGCCCUCUCUGUUGGGCAGCAGAAGAAGUUCUUAUGAAGCAGCCCACCCUGGGCCAGGUGGAGAGAGGCAGCAGCAGGGCCCUCAGGAUCUCAGCAGGGUGAUUUGGUUAGUUUGUUCAAUAAGCCAUGGUUUUAGAAUAGUACAGACUGGGUCAUAGUGUGUGUUAACAACAGCACUCUAUAGCUUGUUGCUGUGUUUAAAUUAGAAAUGCUUUAUUACACAUUACUGGUAGGGGAACAAUAGUACUGGACAAUUGCUACUAGUUUCAAAACAAACAUACUUUAUUUCAUAAAAAUUAACAUUUUAUUACUGUCUCUUUGAAGAAGAAUAAAAAGUCACCACUCCAUUCACAUUGCAUAUCAAGUAAGUGUCAUUAUGAAAACAUCAUUAAUAUGGAAAUUGCAACACUUUGAUUAGCACUUGCAGCCCCCUUUUGUAACAGAAAAAAGAGGAAGGAACUAACCAGAUUGCAGCAAUUUACAUAAUAAAAACCCAGUAGUGGCAGUGCCACCAGUAACUGAAACUAAAGCAGGCUAUCAUGUCUUUUUAAACAGUUUAAUGCAGUUUUUAAAAUGUGCAGUACAAAGGAAAAGAAAAUAUUUUUCUUUAAACUGACAAACUAAUUGAAAAGGAAAUAAAUCAUAGAUGGAUGGUGUCUUUUAGGAUCAUAGUCUCCUGUAAACUAUGAGCCUAACAAUGCGAUGUAAGCAUAUUGUCAAUGCUGCUUGACAUUUCCAAAAUAAUGUACAGCCUUACCUUGGAGUAAAUCCCGUUAACUCAAUGAUGUUUAGUUCUGAGUAAAUGUGAAUGACAUUGUGCUGUAACAAAAUUCCAAGUAAAACAGCAAUCGGUCAUAUAUUUCCUAUUACAAUCAACGCAACCCAUGUUAAAA